AGACGCUAAACUGUCCGGCCUCAACUAACAAAACUAGUUUCCUCUUUGACAAAAAGUGACUCCAUUUAUCCACCUCAUCAUUAAUAAAUCGAGAAUGAGACUCUCCCGACACAGUUCACGGCGUCACUGGUCCAUCGGGGUUUGUUUGUUCGUUCACCUCAGCGCACCGUGAUCACGAUGCUUCGAUGAUCUGUUGACGUGAAGCCACCGGGAGUAUCUGCUUUAACGGCACAUGAUCCGGUCAUCUGAACAGCCGUUCUGCAAGACAAAAAGAGGGAACAUAAGAUGCUGGCUAGCUCCGCGUUGAGUGUUGUGAGCGGAGUGCGGGGAGCGGAGCUCUGGUUCUUCUUGCUCUCCAGCUCGACCUGCAAGUCCCAGAUGUAAUCGAUGACAUGCUGGAGAAUCUCCAUCUUGCUGGCUUUCUUGUUGGUCGGUAGCGUGGGCACCAGCUCCUUCAGUUUGCUGUAGCAGCUGUUCAUGUCUUGGAGAAACAUGGUCAUCUGCUCGUCCAGCAGCGGGAUCUUGCAUUUGGAGAUGGCCAAGCUCUGAUCGGAGAGGCAGCGGACAACAUCCUCUCCUCCAACUUUGCUGCUCUUCAGCGCGCAGAUUGUCCAAACAAACCGAAGCAGACUGCCGGGCGCCAGCGCCGUGACGUCACCCAUUCAUUCGAGCCUUGACGCCUGUCAGCCUGGCGCCGAGCGGGCGGUCCCUAUAGCAACAACAAACAACAGGCUGGCAUCCCUCCACUCUCCCCCAUUCACCUGCGCGCUGCGGAAUCCUGAGAACAAACUGGUCAGCGCUCAUUUAUCACUUAAAACCUCUGAUGCGAUUACCGCUCCGCGCACCUGCAAACUGCCAUUGUCGUCCCGAAAGACUCUUGUAAAGACACAAAAAGUGAGAGACAAAGUGAAAAAGGGCUAUUGAGCCGGAGGGGCUUUUUUUUAGAUUCCAGCAAUGCUUUUAUUUUAUUGUAUAAAAAUAAGGCGAAUGCUAAUUAUUUUUAAAUGCUAAACUUUAUUUAAAAAUACACUAAGUAUUAAUUAAAUAUAAUAAUUGGUAAAUUAACGUUAUUUUUUUAUACAAAUCUGUUGCAUAUAAUGUUUUAAAUAAAAAUAAACAUUAUAACAUGCAUAAUUAAAUAGGUCAAAAUGAAAAAGAAGCAAUUUUGUGACAAGAAAAUGAUAAAACACUGAUAACUCGCAAUGUGCAACGACAAUUAUUAUUAUUUUUUUAACACUUAAAAUAAAAUCUAAAUGCGCGUGCAUGGAUUUGUGCACGUUGUUUUGAGCGAGUGCAUAGCUCUGCAUCCUGCAGGCAGGAGCGCGAGGGACUGGAGCGUUUCUGGCUCGGUCACAGCUGAGCGGGGUUGAGGGGAGGCGGAGGAGGAGCUGAACAAUGGGAGUGCAGUAUCGGGACUGUGAGAGAGAAUCUCGGCUGGAGCCGACGAGUCUGGAGCGCCCCUCCACUCGCUCAUCCCGCUUUUGUUCAGCUGCGCAAGCUAUCAGCACUUCCUACCGACUCCAACAAUAAGCCCUCACAGCUGGGCUCUCCAAAGCCUGUUUACUGCACAUCAAGGCAAAGAGAGGCAAAGAGUGUAACAUCCCCCUUACACACACUCACACACCCUUAUGAACUCUGGUAAAAUAUAAAACAUAUUCCUAGAAGCAGAGAAAGGACGUUCAAAGGAAAAAGUUACAAAUUAUAUAUGCUUUAUUGCUCAAUUACCUCAUAUGCUGGCCACUGGACAACAACCACUCCUUACUUAUUUGUUCAGUAAAACAUAUGUGAUGUGC
Molecule: long non-coding RNA, 1793 nt
Filed under: Danio rerio (zebrafish)
Lineage: Eukaryota; Metazoa; Chordata; Actinopteri; Cypriniformes; Danionidae
Description: lncRNA (ENSDARG00000096939.2)
Source: RNAcentral